GGGGAAUUUUGGACAAUGGGGGCAACCCUGAUCCAGCAAUGCCGCGUGUGUGAAGAAGGCCUUCGGGUUGUAAAGCACUUUUGUCCGGGAAGAAAUCCUUUUCGAUAAUACCGAAGGGGGAUGACGGUACCGGAAGAAUAAGCACCGGCUAACUACGUGCCAGCAGCCGCGGUAAUACGUAGGGUGCGAGCGUUAAUCGGAAUUACUGGGCGUAAAGCGUGCGCAGGCGGUGAUGUAAGACCGAUGUGAAAUCCCCGGGCUUAACCUGGGAACUGCAUUGGUGACUGCAUCGCUGGAGUAUGGCAGAGGGGGGUAGAAUUCCACGUGUAGCAGUGAAAUGCGUAGAGAUGUGGAGGAAUACCGAUGGCGAAGGCAGCCCCCUGGGCCAAUACUGACGCUCAUGCACGAAAGCGUGGGGAGCAAAC
This 425-nucleotide ribosomal RNA is filed under the name uncultured bacterium. Its description in RNAcentral is "bacterial SSU rRNA". It matches the Rfam family "Bacterial small subunit ribosomal RNA", at positions 356 to 773 of the family's 1533-position model. The record is from RNAcentral.